Molecule: long non-coding RNA, 2229 nt
Filed under: Exaiptasia diaphana
Lineage: Eukaryota; Metazoa; Cnidaria; Anthozoa; Actiniaria; Aiptasiidae
Description: uncharacterized LOC114576309
Source: RNAcentral
UUUCAAAAUUGUUUUAUUUAUUGUUUGAUAUUGGUUGUGUGGUUUGAAUACUGUUUGAAUGACAAUUCUUGUCANCCUUGUCAAGAAUUCAUGCAGAUAUUUUGAAAAACUUGUGGCUUAUGUAUUCUUCUUCGUCUAUGUUCUGUUUCCUUGUUCAUUGUUUUUGGGAUUAGAGAAGUUAAAUGAAGUUUCUUGCAAAGCAUGCAAUCGUACUCAAAAAAAAGUCUAAUGCUAAAGAGCAUCCCAAUGUUUGUGAAAACAGCAACUACAACACUUUCCAACUUUCACACUGUGGUCGGGUUGCAAAAUGUUUAUUUCACAUCUGAUGUGCCGGGCUGCGAAGUUUCCGUGAAAAUGACGAUUGGAAAAUUUUGAUGACUAGUCUCUUAAUUAGCCAUGUCUGCAACCAACGCAUGUAUAGCUUCGCGUCACAACAUUUAAGGACGACGCGCCAUUCUUGCGAAAUCGUGCAACUCAAGCCUGCGAUUUACAUGAUCAAGAGGUUCAACGCACACUUUACGAACGUUCUUGAACAUAGCAAUCGAGCAAAAGAAAUCUUGCUUAAAAUCACUGAUGUUUUAAUACGCAAGAAUAGAGCGCAGGAAUGNAAGAAAUAUGACAGUUGUGCCUGGAUGUUGGCAACGGCAAACUACAGAUGCAUUCCAUGAGUUAAGAACAUGAGAUACUACAAGUUGACCGCACUUUUUUACCAUAAUGUGUACCAUCGCGUCCUAGCUGAUAUGCCUAGUUUCUACUGCAGGGGGCAACAUAAUGACAUAAUGCUAGAUGUGGACCACUAAAGAUAAAUAUCCAACGGGCUUUCAGAGAGUUUUAUUGCGCCGUUGGUCUUCCCUCUUCAGCCUAUUUCCAAACAGACGCCUUGCAUAUGACGUCAAAGCAUCUUCAUGUUUACCCUCUUGGUUUCUACAAUCCAUUGUCCUCAAGAUNGAACUCUGCUCCAACCUGNAAGGAGUCUAUGCAAUCAAUCUCGACAGUUUNACAAAUCUUUCCCCUAUGAACAUUUCUUGCUACAAACUUGAUGGAAGCAUUGUGUGUUUUUCCAUAUGACAAUCAUACUAGUUAAAACAGAAUUCUCAUUCGAAAUCUCAUACGACAGAUACGAUUGAUAAGACACAGCCGUACUAGUUUCAGUUCAACAUGAUUUUUCUUCGUUCUUUGUCCGCUUACGCUUGGCCUUAUGACUUGUUCUUACGCUUACGCUUGCGACAGCGAUGUAUUGUGUCGGCAUCUGAGGCCUUGUUCACACUNUACCGGUAAUUUUUGCAUCUUGUUUUUGCGGAAACAAAACUUUUCGCGUCUCUACGUAUUCGUCAUCGAAGCGUUUUCCNCUCUUUUGAGAUAGAUGACGAAAAUUUCCGGGUACAGNCAUGUGGAUACAGCGCGUAAUAGUAAGAAGAAUUUUGUGGAAUUGAAAAUUUCCGGCGUCGUUUGGACCAUUGACACGUCACAGUACCUCUUUCCAAGUAUGCGUUGCUUUAAUGCUGUAUGAUUAAGAGGAAAAAAACCUGAAAAUCUGAUGAUUAGGACACUAUCAUCUGAACAACAAAACUCUUACGCCUAUUGUGUGCUUCGAUUGUCGCUCUCAGGUUAAACCUGAAAGUUCAUCUUAUUGUAAAAGGAGUCUAUAAUGUUGAUCACUAUUUAUAAUCAGCUUCAAGGAACACUACGAUCCCUGACAGAGAAGUCCAACCAAGUUGUCCAAAACCGAGUCAGUGUCAAAUCGAAUGGUGACGAUGCGUAGCUGAGUACUUUAGCCUCAAGUACGAGUCAUUGGAUGUUUGAUUGAUAGCUGAAGCACUUGAAGCAUCGGAGUGCCAAUUCAUGAUCACUCAUGAUUUUUUCCCAUGUUAGAUGACGUCAAUAAACACAUGCAUGUCCGCCGACAUCAAGAAAAACGUGCUUCACUAUGACGUCAGGCAGAACCUCUCAUAUGUUUAUUUUUCAACAUUACGUAAUGCUUAAAAUGGAACUGUUAUAAUGUUUGGAUAAGUAAUUUCCUNUAAAAAUUUCGUCAUAAUUUUUCAGUGCGAAUUUUGGUAUCAUUAUAGAACUAAAAACCUAUUUAUAGAUUUACCAUUUUGAUUUUUGUUUAANGAUAAUGGCGUUCUCAGUAAAUGUUGGGAAAGCUUCUUAUCAACCACCUUGUGAGGCGCACUUCACGCAAAUAAAUGCUUUGUGAAAUUAAAGACCAAAAGACGGAAUUUUAUA